Non-coding RNA from Cinara cedri, 220 nucleotides. NCBI's taxonomy places the organism in Eukaryota, Metazoa, Arthropoda, Insecta, Hemiptera, Aphididae. The record is from the annotation of a GenBank genome assembly.
GAAAAAAUAAAUAUAUUCAAUAUAAAUUCUUUGUUUUACAUGUGGAAAUCGAAUGGAAACAUACGUAGGCAAAGAAAGAAGAAUAGUGAAUGUAGUUGCUAAGCAUUGGAGUGAUAUAAAAGGCUCAGAUAGAGACUGGCCUGAAAGAAACGAAAUAGAUACUGCAGAAAUCAUGGAAUCAUGGCAGCAUAGUUUUAUUAUUGAAGUAAAAGAUCAAGGC